Molecule: ribosomal RNA, 636 nt
Filed under: uncultured Comamonadaceae bacterium
Lineage: Bacteria; Pseudomonadati; Pseudomonadota; Betaproteobacteria; Burkholderiales; Comamonadaceae
Description: bacterial SSU rRNA
Rfam family: Bacterial small subunit ribosomal RNA
Source: RNAcentral
AAACUUAAAUGAAUUGACGGGGACCCGCACAAGCGGUGGAUGAUGUGGUUUAAUUCGAUGCAACGCGAAAAACCUUACCCACCUUUGACAUGUACGGAAUCCUGCAGAGACGCAGGAGUGCUCGAAAGAGAGCCGUAACACAGGUGCUGCAUGGCUGUCGUCAGCUCGUGUCGUGAGAUGUUGGGUUAAGUCCCGCAACGAGCGCAACCCUUGCCAUUAGUUGCUACGAAAGGGCACUCUAAUGGGACUGCCGGUGACAAACCGGAGGAAGGUGGGGAUGACGUCAAGUCCUCAUGGCCCUUAUAGGUGGGGCUACACACGUCAUACAAUGGCCGGUACAAAGGGUUGCCAACCCGCGAGGGGGAGCCAAUCCCAUAAAGCCAGGUCGUAGUCCGGAUCGCAGUCUGCAACUCGACUGCGUGAAGUCGGAAUCGCUAGUAAUCGUGGAUCAGCAUGUCACGGUGAAUACGUUCCCGGGUCUUGUACACACCGCCCGUCACACCAUGGGAGCGGGUUCUGCCAGAAGUAGGUAGCCUAACCGCAAGGAGGGCGCUUACCACGGCAGGGUUCGUGACUGGGGUGAAGUCGUAACAAGGUAGCCGUAUCGGAAGGUGCGGCUGGAUCACCUCCUUUAUG